Molecule: microRNA precursor, 81 nt
Organism: Balaenoptera musculus (blue whale)
Lineage: Eukaryota; Metazoa; Chordata; Mammalia; Artiodactyla; Balaenopteridae
Source: Ensembl
GGGUACUUGAGGAGAGGUUGUCUGUGAUGAGUUCGCUUUAUUAAUGACGAAUAUAACACAGAUGGCCUGUUUUCAGUACCA